This 279-nucleotide ribosomal RNA is filed under the name uncultured bacterium. RNAcentral describes it as "partial 16S ribosomal RNA". It matches the Rfam family "Bacterial small subunit ribosomal RNA", at positions 506 to 784 of the family's 1533-position model. The record is from RNAcentral.
UGCCAUCCGCCGCGGUAAUACGAACUGUGCGAACGUUAUUCGGAAUCACUGGGCUUAAAGGGUGCGUAGGCGGCUGUAAGGGUCAGAUGUGAAAUCCCACGGCUCAACCGUGGAACUGCGUUUGAAACCGUACAGCUUGAGGAAGUCAGAGGUAAGCGGAACUGAUGGUGGAGCGGUGAAAUGCGUUGAUAUCAUCAGGAACACCGGUGGCGAAAGCGGCUUACUGGGACUUUUCUGACGCUGAGGCACGAAAGCCAGGGGAGCGAACGGGAUUAGAUA